RNAcentral lists this ribosomal RNA (254 nucleotides) under uncultured bacterium. Its description in RNAcentral is "partial 16S ribosomal RNA". It matches the Rfam family "Bacterial small subunit ribosomal RNA", at positions 524 to 776 of the family's 1533-position model. The record is from RNAcentral.
CACGUAGGGACCAAGCGUUGUCCGGAUUCAUUGGGCGUAAAGAGCUCGUAGGCGGUUCGAUAAGUCGGGUGUGAAACCUCCAGGCUCAACCUGGAGACGCCACCCGAUACUGUCGUGGCUAGAGUCCGGAAGAGGAGAGUGGAAUUCCUGGUGUAGCGGUGAAAUGCGCAGAUAUCAGGAAGAACACCGAUGGCGAAGGCAGCUCUCUGGGACGGUACUGACGCUGAGACGCGAAAGCGUGGGGAGCGAACAGG